Long non-coding RNA from Cylas formicarius (sweet potato weevil), 514 nucleotides. RefSeq lists it as uncharacterized. NCBI's taxonomy places the organism in Eukaryota, Metazoa, Arthropoda, Insecta, Coleoptera, Brentidae. The transcript has 3 exons. The record is from RefSeq and is a predicted model, not a curated record.
UUUAGUGAAACACUUAAAUGAAAUACCCUAAACUUAAAACAGCCCAAGCACCUGAGUUUCACAUUUUUAUAGUCAUAAACGGGAAUACCUGAUGUGCAAUAAAAGCAGCGAGUGAUUUAUUUCCUUGACUUGAUUUCUCGGCCUUUUAUUUAAUGCACAUCAUGUGGAUGAUGAGGAACAAGCGGCACCGGAGGAAGGUCAGAAGGAAGAGGUAAAUGGUGAGCAACAGAAGACACAGGAAGGGGUGAUAAAGACGAGGGCAGCGGAACAAGCCAAAAAGGGGAAGAAGAGGGAAAAAACCAACAAGGGGGAGAAUAAGGACCAUAGGGUUGUGGUGGGAGGAAGGGGAGCACUAUGUGAUGCUCAUCAAGUUUAUCUUAAUUCGGAAUAAUGAACAGUUGGACUUGAAAUAACGGUGCGCGUGUACUGUACUAUUAAAUGAUACAGUAGAAAAGGAUGGACGAAUGGACUGAUCAGGGCUUGGGUAGCCCAUAAUAGACAGUUAAGGUGCUCG